GGUGUUUGCCGUGUAUAUGGAAAUUAUAUAAACCAUGAAGAUUUGCAAACUGCCAUUAUUUCAAGCACAAAAGCUGUCGCAGGACAGCUUAUGAAAGCACUUGAUCGCACUAUUGUUAAAUUACAAAAUGGCUGCAUAUAUUGUGACUUCGUAGAAGGAAAAGGCAGAAGGGCUGAACCAAAGUCAGAAGUGUUUUUACAGCUACGCGGCAUUGUGCCUGGACAAACGGAGCCAUUUGUUAAUUUUGGAGCUCAGCUAUACUCGUUCAUCCUAGGGGGUGGGGAACUGAUCCCUGGGUUAGAUGAGUCCAUCC
Physella acuta is the source of this 313-nucleotide long non-coding RNA. RefSeq lists it as uncharacterized. The record is from RefSeq and is a predicted model, not a curated record. Lineage: Eukaryota; Metazoa; Mollusca; Gastropoda; Physidae.